AACGCGAAGAACCUUACCAAGUCUUGACAUCUGGAUGACCGGAACUUAACCGUUCCCUCUCUUCGGAGCAUUGGAGACAGGUGGUGCAUGGUUGUCGUCAGCUCGUGUCGUGAGAUGUUGGGUUAAGUCCCGCAACGAGCGCAACCCUUAUCUUUAGUAGCCAGCAGUAAGAUGGGCACUCUAGAGAGACUGCCGGGGAUAACCCGGAGGAAGGUGGGGAUGACGUCAAAUCAUCAUGCCCCUUAUGACCAGGGCUACACACGUGCUACAAUGGCGUAAACAGAGGGAAGCGAGAUGGAGACAUGGAGCAAAUCCCAAAAAUAACGUCCCAGUUCGGAUUGUAGUCUGCAACCCGACUACAUGAAGCUGGAAUCGCUAGUAAUCGCGGAUCAGAAUGCCGCGGUGAAUACGUUCCCGGGUCUUGUACACACGC
Molecule: ribosomal RNA, 433 nt
Filed under: uncultured Lachnobacterium sp.
Lineage: Bacteria; Bacillati; Bacillota; Clostridia; Lachnospirales; Lachnospiraceae
Description: bacterial SSU rRNA
Rfam family: Bacterial small subunit ribosomal RNA
Source: RNAcentral